Molecule: ribosomal RNA, 477 nt
Filed under: uncultured bacterium
Lineage: Bacteria
Description: partial 16S ribosomal RNA
Rfam family: Bacterial small subunit ribosomal RNA
Source: RNAcentral
AUUGAACGCUGGCGGCAUGCCUUACACAUGCAAGUCGAACGGUAACAGGUUAAGCUGACGAGUGGCGAACGGGUGAGUAAUGUAUCGGAACGUGCCCAGUCGUGGGGGAUAACUGCUCGAAAGAGCAGCUAAUACCGCAUACGACCUGAGGGUGAAAUCGGGGGAUCGCAAGACCUCGCGCGAUUGGAUCGGCCGAUAUCAGAUUAGGUAGUUGGUGAGGUAAAGGCUCACCAAGCCGACGAUCUGUAGCUGGUCUGAGAGGACGACCAGCCACACUGGGACUGAGACACGGCCCAGACUCCUACGGGAGGCAGCAGUGGGGAAUUUUGGACAAUGGGCGAAAGCCUGAUCCAGCCAUGCCGCGUGCGGGAAGAAGGCCUUCGGGUUGUAAACCGCUUUUGUCAGGGAAGAAAAGGUUCUGGCUAAUACCUGGGAGUCAUGACGGUACCUGAAGAAUAAGCACCGGCUAACUACGUG